Molecule: ribosomal RNA, 245 nt
Filed under: uncultured bacterium
Lineage: Bacteria
Description: partial 16S ribosomal RNA
Rfam family: Bacterial small subunit ribosomal RNA
Source: RNAcentral
GACGGAGGGAGCAAGCGUUGUCCGGAUUUACUGGGCGUAAAGCGCGCGUAGGCGGCCUGUUAAGUCGGUUGUGAAAGCGCUGGGCCUAACCCAGCAAUGGCAGUCGAUACUGGCAGGCUCGAGUUCGGGAGAGGGAAGCGGAAUUCCUGGUGUAGCGGUGGAAUGCGUAGAUAUCAGGAAGAACACCGGUGGCGAAGGCGGCUUCCUGGACCGAUACUGACGCUGAGGCGCGAAAGCUAGGGGAG